This is a long non-coding RNA of Homo sapiens (human), 1454 nucleotides long. Ensembl annotates it as long intergenic non-protein coding RNA 2188. Lineage: Eukaryota; Metazoa; Chordata; Mammalia; Primates; Hominidae. The record is from Ensembl.
AAAUUUGAAUAUUGAAAUUCUCACCUACAAUGUGAUGCUAUCAAAAGGUGAGGUCUUCGGGAGAGAUUGCUGGUGAGACAGCAGCCACUGCUCCCAGGCCCGACAACAGGGGCAGCACCAAAGCUGGUCAGUGUUUCCUCCUUACAGGCAGGAGGAAGCUAAAAUCCCACCGUUUUCUCCACUUGUUGGACUGUCUGCCCCAUGAGGGAACAAAAGCUCCAUCGACGAGCGUGGAUCCAGAAGCCCAGGCAAUCAGGCUGGAGCCUUCCUUACUUCUGCUGUCUGCAGUGACCACUCUGGAUUUGGGAUCCAGCCUCCCUGAGACUGUAAACAUCUGGGUGAGAGCCAGCCGUGGCUGAGCCCAUAAUUACUGGCUGCAGCCUCCCUACGGCGGCACAGAGGAGGUCUGAAGGUGCUGCAGAGGAGGGUGCUUCCCAGAGAUCACCCCUGUGACAGACAGAUCGAUUGAAGGACCCCUGAAUGGCUGAAUUGAGAAGAACAAGCAUAUUAGGAGGCCAUACAAUGGGAGCCUCUCAGGCAGACAGACAAAGCCGUGGAAACUGCAGACUUAUUUGUAUGUUCUGGUAAACACCUUUGCUUCAUUUUCCCCGUCUCCGCCUGGACUGAGGGUCACCUCACCUCUCCUGGUGUCCAGAGCCUCCUUCAGGACAGAUGUUGCAAACCUGAGUUCUCACAAACAGCGGGGUCCAGCCCUUCUCAACACUGGAAAGCCCUUGAGCCAUCUUUGAUUUGUGUGUUUUGAUCUAAUUGCACUACUGCUUGCAAUGCUUGUUUUUAGCGGUGAGUGCUGGUUUAAUUUGUUUCUUUCUGGUCUCCCAGCCCCACUCCAGAAUUUUGGCUCCUGGAGAGGAGGGGCCCUGAACUGGCAUUUUCAGUGAAGCAUCCCAGUGCCUUGAAUCCAGUAAGCAGCCAGGUGUCUGUUGGCUUCAUGGUUUAACAACCUACCAUUUGAAGAAUCGCAGAGAUGAAUUAAAAAGAGCCCCGGAGAGGCUCCCCGAUCCAGUUGCACUUCCUGCUUAAGCAAAGUAAAGAAAAACAGGAAUGAAAACAUAACCCAAUGGGUUAGUUCCAUGCUGGCCAUUGAUGAGGUUGCAGCCACCAUCAGAAGAAGGCCAAACGGUUAGAAAGACACGGCGGUGAGGAAGAUGAGCCUCAUUAUCGACUGUCACCUGCAGCCCUGCACAGGUGCUCAGAAUCUAACACUUGAUGGCUGGUUGAGAUUCCCGGAGUCCUAAUUAGGAAUGAGGAGUCAGGCUGGCAGGACCCAGGGAAAGCAAAAAGAGAAGGCAGAGAAGCUCCAAGUCUGCCUGUCUUCGUGAUCCAGAACACGUAGUCCUGCUGCACAAGUAACUCACAAUCUUCCUGUGUCCAGCUGUCAUUAGACCCUUGGCUGAUAGAAAAAUGCAAGUUAGCACACUGCAGCCUCGGUGUCG